AUCACCACUUUGUAAGCCCAAGAAAAAUAUCAGAAUUGCAUCAAUGGCCUGAAAGCCCAGCAAACACACAUAAACAGGCCACUGGUUACAGGGUCACAGUGGCCACCCGUGGAGGUCACAUCCCAGGUUACAGGGUCACAGUGGCCACCCGUGGAGGUCACAUCCCAGGUUACAGGGUCACAGUGGCCACCCGUGGAGGUCACAUCCCAGGUUACAGGGUCACAGUGGCCACCCGUGGAGGUCACAUCCCAGGUUACAGGGUCACAGUGGCCACCCGUGGAGGUCACAUCCGGCAAUCUCAGCUCUGUGUCCCUCAUAACACCACAUCUCCUGAAAUGAAAAUCUCUCACCUUCAGUCUUCUCCGUCACCCAGUCAUUUACGUGUUUCCUGCAUUCUUCAGUGUCUUUAGAAAAGUUCAG
This is a long non-coding RNA of Orcinus orca (killer whale), 420 nucleotides long. RefSeq lists it as uncharacterized. The record is from RefSeq and is a predicted model, not a curated record. Lineage: Eukaryota; Metazoa; Chordata; Mammalia; Artiodactyla; Delphinidae. The transcript has 3 exons.